Molecule: ribosomal RNA, 245 nt
Filed under: uncultured Chloroflexota bacterium
Lineage: Bacteria; Bacillati; Chloroflexota
Description: uncultured Chloroflexi bacterium partial 16S ribosomal RNA
Rfam family: Bacterial small subunit ribosomal RNA
Source: RNAcentral
UACGUAGGGGGCAAGCGUUGUCCGGAUUUAUUGGGCGUAAAACGCUCGUAGGUGGCCACGCCAAGUCGGAUGUGAAAUCUCCCGGCUCAACUGGGAGGGGUCAUUCGAUACUGGCGGGCUCGAGGCCGGUAGGGGGAAGCGGAAUUCCCGGUGUAGUGGUGGAAUGCGUAGAUAUCGGGAGGAACACCAGUGGCGAAGGCGGCUUCCUGGACCGGUUCUGACACUGAGGAGCGAAAGCGUGGGGA